Molecule: ribosomal RNA, 255 nt
Filed under: uncultured bacterium
Lineage: Bacteria
Description: partial 16S ribosomal RNA
Rfam family: Bacterial small subunit ribosomal RNA
Source: RNAcentral
UACGUAGGGUGCGAGCGUUAAUCGGAAUUACUGGGCGUAAAGUGUGCGCAGGCGGCCGAGCAAGUCGAGUGUGAAAGCCCCCGGGCUUAACUUGGGAAUUGCGCUCGAAACUACUUGGCUGGAGUGUGGCAGAGGAAGGUGGAAUUCCAGGUGUAGCGGUGAAAAUGCGCAGAUAUCUGGAGGAACACCGGUGGCGAAGGCGGCAUCCUGGACCAACACUGACGCUGAGGAGCGAAAGCCAGGGGAGCAAACGGG